GUGAGGCUGUGGUUUUGUGUGUGGUGCUGGGUUUUUGCAGGGAUACUUGGUCCAGUUGUUCUGCCUCUUCUGUGACUGCCUGUGGGGUUGAAACAACUGUUUCUCAGYCGUAUGGGGAAAGCAGUUACGAUGACCCAAAGGGUGCAAGAAGCAGCAAGAGGCCAAAGGGCAGUAGCUGUGCAGAGGACCAUGCUCUCUCCU
Long non-coding RNA from Nothoprocta perdicaria, 201 nucleotides. RefSeq lists it as uncharacterized. The transcript has 2 exons. The record is from RefSeq and is a predicted model, not a curated record. Lineage: Eukaryota; Metazoa; Chordata; Aves; Tinamiformes; Tinamidae.